Molecule: ribosomal RNA, 461 nt
Filed under: uncultured bacterium
Lineage: Bacteria
Description: bacterial SSU rRNA
Rfam family: Bacterial small subunit ribosomal RNA
Source: RNAcentral
AGUGGGGAAUAUUGGACAAUGGGCGAAAGCCUGAUCCAGCAACGCCGCGUGAAGGACGAAGGUCUUCGGAUUGUAAACUUCUGUUAUGAGGGAAAAAGAAAGUGAUGGUACCUCAUGAGAAAGCCACGGCUAACUACGUGCCAGCAGCCGCGGUAAAACGUAGGUGGCAAGCGUUAUCCGGAAUUACUGGGCGUAAAGAGAGUGUAGGUGGCUAGGUAAGUCACAUGUGAAAGCCCACGGCUCAACCGUGGAACUGCAUGUGAUACUGCAUAGCUAGAGUAUAGGAGAGGUAAGCGGAAUUCCUAGUGUAGCGGUAGAAUGCGUAGAUAUUAGGAGGAACACCAGAGGCGAAGGCGGCUUACUGGCCUAACACUGACACUGAGACUCGAAAGCGUGGGGAGCAAACAGGAUUAGAUACCCUGGUAGUCCACGCCCUAAACGAUGGAUACUAGAUGUGGGGA